Malania oleifera is the source of this 106-nucleotide small nucleolar RNA. RefSeq annotates it as small nucleolar RNA R64/Z200 family. The record is from RefSeq and is a predicted model, not a curated record. The transcript has a single exon. NCBI's taxonomy places the organism in Eukaryota, Viridiplantae, Streptophyta, Magnoliopsida, Santalales, Ximeniaceae.
UAACUGCUGUGAUGAAUCUAUGAAAUCAUUCACAUGUCAGACUUCAGAGAUUUUCUCUCUCGAGGGAAAAUCGGUGAGAGUGAAAAUUCAUAUUUCUGAGCAGAUC